UUUAUAUUUUUCCAUCAUUAUAUCAUAUUGCUCUCAAUUAUUAGCGAUAUAAACCUUUGUAGCUGCCGGUCAUUUCUCUCUCUCUCUCGCACCCUCUCUCCCUUUCUCUAAGCAAGCUAAAACACAACAAGAAUAAAACCUAUGGCUGGUAUGCUUCCAGGAGUUGAGUGCGCGAGGAGGCGGCGCUUUCACGGCGGUGCUCCACCGAUUGACUUAUCCAACACGGCUUCUGUGGCGGCAGCAACGGGACACGUAUGGACUCGCCGACCAUCCUUCUCUCUCUACACUACCAAUCACGAGAGUCACCAAGCCUAUGUCUCCUUCUCGGUAAUGAAACGACUAAAAUAAAAGAAAAAAGUUCAAACAUUUUCUUGGCAGGAAAGAUUGUAACUUACACAAUUUAUAAAAUUAUAGGAGAGAAAUGUUAGGAACAAAUCUUACGGUGUUGAUAACGACGAGAAGCUCUUUAAUUACAAUAUAAUGUUUCAUAUCUUUACUAAAGUCUGUACCUUCAAGAUGUAAAAGUUUGUUUUUUGUCAAAAGGCCUUCAGUCAAGAUGGAAAAAAUAGGGGAAAAGGAAAUUCUAAUGCUAAAUAAGAAACUGUUAUAUAAUUUAAAACUAACUUUUAGAUUAAUUUUUUUUGAACUUUUAACUAACUUUUAGUUUAUACCUAACUAACCCAUCUUUAUAUUUUUCCAUCAUUAUAUCAUAUUGCUCUCAAUUAUUAGCGAUAUAAACCUUUGUAGCUGCCGGUCAUUUCUCUCUCUCUCUCGCACCCUCUCUCCCUUUCUCUAAGCAAGCUAAAACACAACAAGAAUAAAACCUAUGGCUGGUAUGCUUCCAGGAGUUGAGUGCGCGAGGAGGCGGCGCUUUCACGGCGGUGCUCCACCGAUUGACUUAUCCAACACGGCUUCUGUGGCGGCAGCAACGGGACACGUAUGGACUCGCCGACCAUCCUUCUCUCUCUACACUACCAAUCACGAGAGUCACCAAGCCUAUGUCUCCUUCUCGGUAAUGAAACGACUAAAAUAAAAGAAAAAAGUUCAAACAUUUUCUUGGCAGGAAAGAUUGUAACUUACACAAUUUAUAAAAUUAUAGGAGAGAAAUGUUAGGAACAAAUCUUACGGUGUUGAUAACGACGAGAAGCUCGUAGGAGCAGCCAAAGAGGCGAAAGAUAGAUUGGACGAGCGGCUGAGAAACCCGCGAAGAAGGUUUGGUUUGUUUAAACAAGUGUAUGAUAGCAAACCAAGUCCUAAUUCACCUUAAAAUGCACCGAACCAGCUCAAGCCAUUUGCUUUAAUUCCUUGAUAAUGACACAUGAUGGUGUACUAUUAUUAUCUUUCUAACAUGUGGUAACACAUGAGCAUAUAAUUGUGAGAUUGCCUUUUGUCGGACAAUUAUUUUAUCCUUUUAGCGCUGACAGACUUUAUCGGCUGUGCGCAUUUUAGCAAGGGUUUCAAUUUAAUGUUAAGAUCACCAAAUUUGACAUUUACUUGUCCCGAUUUUUGCUUUAUAUUUUCAAGUUC
RNAcentral lists this long non-coding RNA (1527 nucleotides) under Brassica napus (rape). RNAcentral's name for it is "long non-coding RNA (BNAP_LNC007618)". The record is from RNAcentral. Lineage: Eukaryota; Viridiplantae; Streptophyta; Magnoliopsida; Brassicales; Brassicaceae.